CGUUCCCGGAGGCCACAGGGAUUUUUGUUUUGUUUUGUUUUUCAGCUCAAGCCUGGCAUGCAGGAGAAUUCUCGCUUUUCUGUUUUAGUCUGCUUUCGGGUCUGUGUCUCCCGCUGUCAGUAUCCGUGUUUGUUUUUCGCCUGAGUUGUAUGGGAGCCAAUGAUCUGUGUCUGGUUUUGACCAGCCCUCCCCACCCAGUUUGGUUUAUUUAGUUUUUUUCCAAGGUGUUUUAGUCCGGUAGGGCAUUGGAAAUCCACCCUUGGGGUGGAUGAAUCACUGGAUUCCAGGGGGGGGCAGAUCAUUGUUUGAUGUUUUAUAUUUGUUUUGUCAGAUUUAGUUAGUCCAAAGUUCAUGUCCCCAUCCCCAGAGGCUAGUGAGUUGAGAGGGUAUUUUGUGUUUGUCUUGUCUCCUGAUUGUGUCUUGGCUCUUGGAGGAGUCCAGUUUGAAGUCCCAUCGUACUCGCUCUUCGGUGGAGACCAGUUUAAAGUUUUGCAGUUAUCCUGGUACCUUGUCUUGUGUUUCUCCAUCGAACUGAGCCUGCCUGUCUGCAUCUGUGUGUGUCUGUAUGAGCUCGCUGCACUACUCUUGGAACUCUGAACCCGCCUUCAGGCUCUGUGGAUUCCUGAAACCCUGAAUAUGUCUGUUCUUGUGCGGAUCAGAAUCCCUGAUUGGGCUGCGGACUCCUGGAUUCAAGAACUGUUCCUGUCUGAUCUGUUUCCCUGACCUGCUCAUUGGGGUCCCUGCAUCGGAGACACUCUCUGGGAGGCUCUGCACCGCUGCUCGUUUGGCAGUCCAUCGGUCAGAUCCUGCUUUCAUGGACUGAACUAUUCAACCAGGAACUCAGAGCGGAGCGGACGGGAGCCACAGCGGAGGCUGUAUGCUUUGCUUUGCGCAGGCGGUCUGGAUUGCAGUGGAGCCCUGACGGAGUAUUUGGGAUUUUGGGGAUGACGCAGUUUGCCACUGAAUGAGCUCUGCAGUAGUUCAGCAACAGCUUCAUG
Molecule: long non-coding RNA, 998 nt
Organism: Cyprinodon tularosa
Lineage: Eukaryota; Metazoa; Chordata; Actinopteri; Cyprinodontiformes; Cyprinodontidae
Exons: 3
Source: RefSeq, a predicted model, not a curated record